Molecule: ribosomal RNA, 253 nt
Filed under: uncultured bacterium
Lineage: Bacteria
Description: partial 16S ribosomal RNA
Rfam family: Bacterial small subunit ribosomal RNA
Source: RNAcentral
UACGGAGGGUGCAAGCGUUAAUCGGAAUUACUGGGCGUAAAGGGCGCGUAGGCGGCACUGUUAGUCAGGCGUGAAAUUCCUGGGCUCAACCUGGGGACUGCGCUUGAUACGGCAGAGCUAGAGGAUGGAAGAGGCUCGCGGAAUUCCCAGUGUAGAGGUGAAAUUCGUAGAUAUUGGGAAGAACACCGGUGGCGAAGGCGGCGAGCUGGUCCAUUACUGACGCUGAGGCGCGACAGCGUGGGGAGCAAACAGG